GGACGUUGAUUCUGUGGGCCCAUGUGAUCGCGUAAAAAAAAAAAACGGAACUGAACCGAACUAAGUGAGAAAGCAAUGUUGAUGCUCAUUUGCAGACUUUCUAAUGUUCUACAACAAUUACAACUAAGACCUUAAUCUAAACUAUAUAUUCCCAGCGUGUUUGACCGCGCACACACACUUAUGUGUACAUUGUGAGUUCUACACAAGUGGAAUAAAGAAA
Non-coding RNA from Pimephales promelas (fathead minnow), 220 nucleotides. The record is from RefSeq and is a predicted model, not a curated record. NCBI's taxonomy places the organism in Eukaryota, Metazoa, Chordata, Actinopteri, Cypriniformes, Leuciscidae.